UCGUUUUAGGCUUGGUUAAUUAACUUUUUGCUAUAAGCAUGAAACACUUCUCCUAAUUUAUAUGUUUGUUAGAUUUGGCUUCAAUGUUUUUUAUUUGUUUGUGAAUUUGAUUCGGUGAUGUUUCAUUAAAUUUGAAGUAACUAUUAAGUUUGGUAUGUUGUGUUGUUAAGGUACGAAAUUUUUAGGGAAUUAUUUGCUGUGGUUAAACUUGUGGUUUUGACUAUGUUAUAGCUGAUAAGUAUGUGAUGUGCUUAGACUAUUAGAUUUCUUUUUCCAUGUGGAAGUAGGUUGGUUAAUUGACAUACUAAUGAGGGUUUAGGAUCCGAGUAAUCUUUUAUGAGGGGCCUAGUAAUCUUGGUUGUGUGCAGUAUAAGCUAAUUCUUAAUGCAUGUUUGCAGUUUUAUUGGUUUGUUUUUUUUAAUGUAAUUAUACUUCAUCUUGUUGCUGGAUAAGUUUGCACUUUGUACAUUGAAUGAGAGCUCGUUCCUUUUUUGUUAAGCUUGAUCUGUCAUUAUAUCUUAAAUCUUUGAAUUUUUUGCACUUGUUUGCUGCAUGCUAGUCAAAAUAGCAUGUUAAUUAAGACUUCCUUUCCUUCUAGCAACAAUGAAUCUUCGAUGCAAUGCAGUCUUGUUUAGGCUGCAGUGUUAUUCAACUUCAUCUUAACAAUGAAUAUGUAUUACUGAUGAUGAGUGAUGCAACUUAUUGAGUGUUUCGGGAUGUGAGACUUCAAUAUAGACUAAGUUUGCAGAUUUUGAGUUCCCCUAUUUUCUAGUUUGUGCUUGUUGUUCACUUGCUUUCUGAUGGGUUUCCUGGUUUGUGUGACUUGGGCUGAGUGUUAGAAAUUUUUGGCUCUGAGGUGUAUCCUUCUUUUUCUGUCUUCUCCCAUAUCCUUUUGGUGUUUGGUUUGUCUUUGGUUGCAUUUAACCCCGAUCUCUUUGUUUUGAUAUCUCUCUCUCUGCUUGUCUCUGCCUCUUUGUUACUUGGUAGGUUUAGGCCAUUGUUUUAUUAUACAUGGAAUGAGAGUUUCUCCCUUUUGUGUUAAGAGUUGUACUAAUUACUAAAUUAAAAAUCUCACACCAAUUAUGCACGGGAGCAUAUUGAGAGAAAUUCAAUCUAGGAUCUCACUUUUGUGUUAUGAUUUCAUGUUUUGCAUUCCUACCUCCCUUGCCAAUCCAAGGUUGUGUCCGAGGCUAUGAGUUUGACAACCUUGGUCUUAUAGUUAGUCCAGUUAAAGGUGAUUUUAGUAAGGAUCCUAUUAAAACCUGAUUUGGUAUGUAUAUAUGGAAUGAGAGCUUCUUCCUGUUUUUGGUAAGCUUGAUCUGUCAUUAUAUCUUAAUUCUUUGAAUUUUUUUCCCCUUUUGAUGAAUUAAUUUUUAUGCACUCGUUGGCUGCAUGGUAAUAAAAAUAAUAUUCUAGGUUGUAGCCUUGUAGGAUUCUAGAAUUCUACCUGUCACACCUCUCUUUUGGUAUCAUGAUUUCAUGUUUUGCAUUCCUACUUCCUUUGUGGCUAUGAGUUUGACAACCUUGGUUUGAUGUGAACAAAUCUGCUUGUCGUAUAAAAUACUUUAGUUAGUCCAGAUAAAGUUUGGAUGAUUCCGGCGAUUAUCCGUUUCAAGUCUGAUUUGCUAUGUGUGUAUGUUUGUCUAGAAAUGAUCCACAAUAUUAGAGUAACAAUAUAAAUGAAUAACAAGAACAUUAGUUUCCUUAGAUAAUCAAUGUGAUUGUUGAUCUUGUUCUUUAUUCACAUAGUUUUCCUUGUUUUCGGCACAACCCUGGUCAUCGGUGUAUCACACGUGACACGAGGACCUGGAUCGGUGGUUGGGCAGUUGUGGGAUUGGGUUGUAGCGUUUAGGUUUAAAUCCAGAUAUUACAAAGAAUGUUAAGAGUAUAUACUACUUACAUCAUAUUACUACUUAUAUUCUAAGCUAUUUAACUAAUUGGUGGUUUGCGACAAUAUGCUGUAAGUUAUUAGGGAUAAAAAAACACAUGAUGCAGCUGUAGUUCUUUCUGUGUCUGUCAAUCACAUUAUUUAUUUAUUCAUUAAGUUUGGUGUAGAAAUUUAAAUCAAUACUGUAGUGUAUAGAUCAUAAAUGUGGAGAAUAACAUAUUCAGAUGUUUGUAAAAUUGAAAUAAUAUGAUGCCUUGGAGUCUGGAAUGGCUUGAACAUGAAGCACAUUGAAUUCUGAAUUAUGCAGACCAGUUUCUGGCAUAUAGAAUAAUAGAAAUUUAGGACAAAUGCUUGUAACCACAUUAUAACUUUGGUAUGGGUAAAAUACUGUGUUUCAUUGAACUUGAACCUUUUUCCUUCUGUGGAUGUCCACCAAAAUAUAAAUGAGACAAGCAUAACCAAAGUUAUAUGCUUUACUGGUCCAUGAUUAUGUGGUGGAGAAUGUUCCUACCUUACCUUUUGCAAGUCUAUUUCAGAUCCAAUGCUCCAUUGAUUCAACAAUCAAGACUCUGUAUAGAAGAAUGGAUGACGAAGCUUUGCUAGAAAAUACUGAGAUAGUUAACUUAACUGUUUUGCUUAGGCUCUGUUUGGUAAAAUAAAGCUAUAAGCUAGCUUAUAGCUGAUAAGCUAGCUGAUAGCUGAAAAGCUAGCUUAUAGCUGAUAGCUGAAAAGCUAGCUGAUUGAAAUUAAAGUGUUNNNNNNNNNNNNNNNNNNNNNNAUUAAAGGUUAAAAAUGGAAAAAACUGUAAAAAGCUAUAAGCUAUAAGCUCAAACGCUACUUGAAAUAACAUCUCAAAAAAAGCUAUAAGCUCGUGAGAAAAGCUUUUUACCAAACACUUAUAUUUUUUUCAAACAAGCUUAUAAGCUAGUCCAAUAAGCUAUAAGCUAGCUUAUUGGACUUACCAAACACACCCUAAUUAGUUUGCUUAUCAAUCAUCCAACGGACCAAAAAUGGAAUACUUGCUAAUUUUACAUUUCUCUGUGAUAGGACCAGUUGGAUCUCUUACUCUCUGUUAUCAACACACAUCCUAAUUGGUUUUUUGCGUUUUUUGAUAUAUAUUUUUCACCAUGUAUAUUAAUCCCUGUCCUGUAUUGCUUCAACUUCUUGCAACAUAGUAGAGCACACAACAUCCAUGAUAGCUAAGGCCUUGCUUGUUUACUUGCAAAUUGCAAUUCAAGAACUUCUGAAGUUGCAAACUUAAA
RNAcentral lists this long non-coding RNA (3150 nucleotides) under Trifolium pratense (red clover). Its description in RNAcentral is "long non-coding RNA (TPRA_LNC003039)". Lineage: Eukaryota; Viridiplantae; Streptophyta; Magnoliopsida; Fabales; Fabaceae. The record is from RNAcentral.